CAUUCGGGGCGGGGGGGAGGCAGGGGGUGCAGGUGGCAGUUCGGGGCGGGAUGGGGAAUGGGGGGGCAGUUCAUGGGGGGGAGGUUGGGGGCUGUGGGUCUGGAGCGGGGGUUAGUGCUGGGGGUGAGGCGUGAGGGAGGUUUGGGCCGUGGAGAGGGGCAGUCAGAGGGGUGGAGCUGAAGGGGGAGAAGCCCUGGAGAGGUCGGCGGGGGGAUGUGGAGGGAGCAAGGGUCGCUCCCUUCUCGCUCUCACAAACCAGCCUUUCCCCUACAACAGAAACCCAACCCUGCGCCGUCCCCAAGACACCCUGAUUUGUGCCCAGCAAUUCCUCAAAAUAAUUAGCCCGGAGCGACAGGCCGUUGCUGCUGACACCGGGCCUGGAGCACCGCGUUACCGGCAGCGCUGCAGCUCUUGGAGGUGCCCACACAUGCAUUAGGGAGCAGAAGCAUGGUCCUUGAUUCGACAUGUUCAGCGAGAUGUCCUGUCUUCCCCUUCUGUUUUCCUUGCCUUUGCAUCACAGUUUCUGUAAUACAGGGACAUGCACUGUUUAUAUUGAUGCAAAGCUUCCAGACCCUUGCGUAGCUCAAGGAUCCCACGGAUCAACCACUACGGCAGAUGCUGCCAUGGCACAUUGCAGCGGUGUUGUUACACCUCUAAUUUUGAUCGAGAGCUUCCGACCUGGUUUUGCAUCAUGUUAUCAAAUACCUGUUUCUGCUGCAUUUUUUUAAAGCUGUGUUACACUUCACGUGGAGGAGUUUGGGAAACUCCUGUAGCCACAGCUAUGCAAAGUUCAGAGCUGGCCAUCUUAAUAGUCCCUUCUGGCAUCUGGUGCAUGCAGGAAGGAGUAGGAGCCUGGAGAGGGACAGUUCUUUUUCCUGUGAAAUCUUUCUUAUAUUAAUAAUAAACAAGCAUUAAAUACA
This is a non-coding RNA of Phalacrocorax carbo (great cormorant), 920 nucleotides long. The record is from RefSeq and is a predicted model, not a curated record. Lineage: Eukaryota; Metazoa; Chordata; Aves; Suliformes; Phalacrocoracidae.